GAUGAAGAACGUAGCGAAAUGCGAUAAGUAAUGUGAAUUGCAGAAUUCAGUGAAUCAUCGAAUCUUUGAACGCACAUUGCGCCCCCUGGUAUUCCGGGGGGCAUGCCUGUCCGAGCGUCAUUACAACCCUCAAGCUCAGCUUGGUGUUGGGCCCCGCCGCCCCGGCGGGCCCUAAAGUCAGUGGCGGUGCCGUCCGGCUCCGAGCGUAGUAAUUCUUCUCGCUCUGGAGGUCCGGUCGUGUGCUCGCCAGCAACCCCCAACUUUUUUCAGGUUGACCUCGGAUCAGGUAGGGAUACCCGCUGAACUUAAGCAUAUCAAUAAGCGGAGGA
Molecule: unclassified non-coding RNA, 329 nt
Filed under: soil metagenome
Description: partial contains 5.8S ribosomal RNA, internal transcribed spacer 2, and large subunit ribosomal RNA
Rfam family: 5.8S ribosomal RNA (bases 1-120)
Source: RNAcentral